UACGGGGGGGGCAAGCGUUGUUCGGAAUUACUGGGCGUAAAGGGCUCGUAGGCGGCCAACUAAGUCAGACGUGAAAUCCCUCGGCUUAACCGGGGAACUGCGUCUGAUACUGGAUGGCUGGAGGUUGGGAGAGGGAUGCGGAAUUCCAGGUGUAGCGGUGAAAUGCGUAGAUAUCUGGAGGAACACCGGUGGCGAAGGCGGCAUCCUGGACCAAUUCCGACGCUGAGGAGCGAAAGCCAGGGGAGCAAACGGG
This 253-nucleotide ribosomal RNA is filed under the name uncultured bacterium. RNAcentral describes it as "partial 16S ribosomal RNA". It matches the Rfam family "Bacterial small subunit ribosomal RNA", at positions 524 to 776 of the family's 1533-position model. The record is from RNAcentral.